GACAUCACGUCGUCUGUCCGCCAGCCCCUCUUGUGCCUCCAGUAACUCCCACAGAAACUACUCCUUCCGCAAGGGCUCUGUGUGGUCAGUGCGGUCAGUGGACAGUGCAGAUGAUGAGAACAUGACAGAACUCACACCAACACAUCACAUGCUGCAGCCACCCCAGUCUAUUUUCCCACCAUGCAUCUGCGCUAUUGUGUUGCCCAUUGUGCACCUGAUGGAAGAUGGAGGAGUUCGCUAAGAUGGAGUUGCAGUAUGUGCUGUUGCUCAGCAGGUCUUGUGGAACUGCCUGAUUGAAGAUCCAGCCUUGGUCCUUAGACAUUUCUUGGAGAAACUCACAGUCAGUAAUAAACAGGUAAGAUCACUAAAUAAAUCACUAUUUUAGAGAACAAAAGAUGAGCGUGUGCUGUUAUAUGAUAAAAAAUAUGUUAUGGUUGUUCUCAGGAUGAGUUCAUGUACAUGCUGAGGAAACUGCUUCUUAACAUUGGGGAUUUGCCUGCACAGACC
Long non-coding RNA from Carassius auratus (goldfish), 507 nucleotides. RefSeq lists it as uncharacterized. The record is from RefSeq and is a predicted model, not a curated record. NCBI's taxonomy places the organism in Eukaryota, Metazoa, Chordata, Actinopteri, Cypriniformes, Cyprinidae. The transcript has 3 exons.